UACGGCCACAUCACGUUGAAACACCGUGCGAUCACCGAAGUUAAGCAACGUCGAGUCUGGUCAGUACCUAGAUGGGUGACUGUUUGAAAAUACCAUGUGCUGUAAGC
Molecule: non-coding RNA, 107 nt
Organism: Acanthosepion pharaonis
Lineage: Eukaryota; Metazoa; Mollusca; Cephalopoda; Sepiida; Sepiidae
Source: the annotation of a GenBank genome assembly